Molecule: long non-coding RNA, 1230 nt
Organism: Leopardus geoffroyi (Geoffroy's cat)
Lineage: Eukaryota; Metazoa; Chordata; Mammalia; Carnivora; Felidae
Exons: 3
Source: RefSeq, a predicted model, not a curated record
AAAUGACAGGCUGUCACCUCAGGCUUCACUACGGUAUCGCCUAAGGAUAGGUGGAGGGUUGGGUGAUCUACUCAAGUCCCUUGGGAGUGCAAGGAAAGAGUUUCUAUUGCCAGAGCUCCUGGAAUCCUGGAGAAGGAGUGAGGGCAUACCCAUUCACUUUUUUUGCAGGUAUAAUAAUGACGCAUUUGAGUUCCGAGGGCUGGAUUGGAUUCCUCGUCAAGAAAACUUUUAGCUUCAGAAAACACCACCUUUCCCUUCCAUUUCUUCCCAUUCGACUCCAAUGACAGAAUUCAUAAUUUUCAGGAUGUAGAAGGCAGUAGUUUCCUUAGACAAAAGCGAAGCAGUCCAAUUUCCCAGCCGUUUACAAGAGUAAACACUCCUUUGGCCCUCCCGCCCUCAAGGAAGGGCACCGUGUGUCCCCAAAAAGGUCUGUUCAUGGUGCUCUUGGUGUUUGUGACCUGUGUGAGUGGCCUUUUUUUUUUUUCCUCCAACACAGAAUCGAACUGGCCCGUCUUAUGUGUUUGCGGAUGAAGAAACUCCAGGGUCGGAUUCAUCACACUGUAUUUGCCUUCAGAGGAGUUACCCCGUUGGCUGAUUCCUGAGAGCAUCCAGUGCAGUCACCGUGGGCUAGGGUUUUGCCUGCAUCGAAAUAUAAAGAUGGUCAAUAGCCAGGGCAGGAGAGAUUCAGAUGCAUUCAAUAACGUGCAGAAAAGGCCCUGGGAAGAUAUAUCACUCCACUGCCUUCUGGAAUCAACUGUUGUGGAUGAGGAGUCAGCUGAGAAUGUAAUCGUCAUUCCUUUGUGGGUAAUCUGUAUUUUCUUUCUGGUAACCUAAAGAUUUUUUUUUCUUCAUCUGUCUGCAUUUCAGUAGGAUGUGCACAGAUGUGUAUUUAUUUUCGUUUACGCUGGAUUUGGUACAUCUCUCAGCAAAUCUGGAAAAUGCUCAGCCAUUAUCUUUCUAAAUAUCUCUGCUCUGCCACUUGCUUAAUUCUACGCUUUCAACAUCCCUAUUAGACAUAUUUUGGAGCCCAUCCAUUUAUCCUCCAUGUUUUGAAACUAUGGCUUAAUGAAAAAAAAGUUUUUUUUUAAUCUCUCUAUGAUGCAUUUUUUGUUGAAUUCUGAGCAGUAUCUUCCAAUUCACUAAUUCUUGCUAAAUACAUCCAUUCUGGAGUUUGUCUCAUUUACUGACUUAAAAUUUUUAGUGGCCAUAUUUUUCAUUUCCAACAUUUCU